This 677-nucleotide ribosomal RNA is filed under the name uncultured marine group I thaumarchaeote. RNAcentral's name for it is "bacterial SSU rRNA". It matches the Rfam family "Archaeal small subunit ribosomal RNA", at positions 321 to 999 of the family's 1478-position model. Lineage: Archaea; Thermoproteati; Nitrososphaerota. The record is from RNAcentral.
CCCUAUGGGGUGCAGCAGGCGAGAAACCUUUGCAAUGUGCGCAAGCACGACAAGGUUAAUCCGAGUGUUUCCUGCUAAAGGAAUCUUUUGUUAGUUGUAAAACCACUGAUGAAUAAGGGGUGGGCAAGUUCUGGUGUCAGCCGCCGCGGUAAAACCAGCACCUCAAGUGGUCAGGAUGAUUAUUGGGCCUAAAGCAUCCGUAGCCUGUUCUGUAAGUUUCCGGUUAAAUCCAUUAGCUCAACUAAUGGGCUGCCGAAAAUACUGCAGAACUAGGGAGUGGGAGAGGUAGACGGUACUCGGUAGGAAGGGGUAAAAUCCUUUGAUCUAUUGAUGACCACCUGUGGCGAAGGCGGUCUACCAGAACACGUUCGACGGUGAGGGAUGAAAGCUGGGGGAGCAAACCGGAUUAGAUACCCGGGUAGUCCCAGCUGUAAACGAUGCAGACUCGGUGAUGCCCUGGCUUGUGGCCAGUGCAGUGCCGCAGGGAAGCCGUUAAGUUUGCCGCCUGGGAAGUACGUACGCAAGUAUGAAACUUAAAGGAAUUGGCGGGGGAGCACCACAAGGGGUGAAGCCUGCGGUUCAAUUGGAGUCAACGCCAGAAAUCUUACCCGAAGAGACAGCAGAAUGAAGGUCAAGCUGGAGACUUUACCAGACAAGCUGAGAAGUAGUGCAUGGCC